Molecule: long non-coding RNA, 560 nt
Organism: Myotis brandtii (Brandt's bat)
Lineage: Eukaryota; Metazoa; Chordata; Mammalia; Chiroptera; Vespertilionidae
Exons: 3
Source: RefSeq, a predicted model, not a curated record
AAAACAGAGAUUAUUUCAGGGAGGAUGAUUUCGUUUUGCUUGGGGAAGGCAAGUAGGAGUACUCAUGAUCCUGGAUCACUUGGAUCUAGAAAGGCCUUGAGAUUUUGAAGUUGCAUUCAGUUCCAGAUUCUCGUUCAUCUUUAUUCAGAGUGUGGCCCAUCCAAAGCCAGGCCAGGACCUUUCUCCUUUGUAGGCCCUGAACUCCUGAUUCCAGCUUUGGUCCCCUUUUCUUGUGAGUCUUUUGAAAGCUCUGCUCAAGUCUGAAUUUUGGAAUUGCCUCGUCAGCAGAUGACCCUCUGGGAAAAGCAGCCCCAAAUGCUAGAAUUACCUGUGGCCAUGUUGCACAACUCCAGGAGUCACGGGUCUCAUACAAGAGGAUCAUUUAUGAGCAGACUUCCAUCUGUACUACUUUCACUGGGAGACUGAGUCUUACUAAAGACCUGGAAGACUCAGGGUCCUGAACAGAAGUUAGCCGAGCAAUGGACUAGAUCUCUAUAACGUACUCUUGACAACACUUCCCUAAGGCUCAUGGGAAGCAAGUCUUGGACCCACCACACAAA